UAUUAUUUAUCGAUCACAAAUAAAAAAACUUAUAAGUCACAAUUUAUUUGUCGAUCACAGAUUUUCAAAUUAAUUAGCCACGGAUUAUCGAAAUUUUACGUCACAAUUAAAUCGUAGGUCACAAAUAACUAAAUAAAUGGUCACAUAUGUCAAAUGGUGGGUCAUAUACCACCAUCACCAACACUAUCACACCGCCACUGCCACAAAAACCACUUGCGACAACCUCACCUCAUUAUCACCAGCACCACCACCAACAACGCCACAACAUCACCACCAACAAAAUCGCCACCACUCACAUCACCACUGCCAACACGAACACCUGCACCAUUGCUAGAAACCACCACGACCAAACACACCAACAAUACCCAACCAGCCACCUCACCAAUAACCAACAUCUCCACGGCCAACACGACCACUGUCGAAAACCAUCACAGCCAUAAAGACCAUAACCACACCCAGAAACCACCACCAAAAACAACAAUACACCACUCCACAAUCUCACCAAAACCACCCACAUCAGCAACACAGGUAGAAUCAACAAAAAUGAUUAGAACCAGUAGCAACCACACUCGUCCUUGGCCACAGCAGCGACAUCGUCGCUCAUAGUAUGUUGCAGCGCCGCCAGCCACACACUCACCGAAGAAGAGGCGGAUCUACGGAGAGCAUGGGAGAAGAGAGAGUGAAGAGAAAGAGAUGUUGGACGGAGAAAAGUUAGAUCUGCAAAAUUAGAGUUCGCAGAAGUCGCCGUUCACAACAGGUGACACCGUUGGAAUUAGUUUCACCCGGCGACGCUGCUGAGAACUCUUAGCAGUCCCCGAUGUCAACCGCAUCCUCUGGCACAUCCUCCUUUGUCGCCGAUUGCAGAGUUUGACAGGAUCGCCGACGUCGAAGACAGUAGGGAGGGAUGGUGACGGUGAAAUGUUUUAUCGCGAGCGUCAAAGAGAGAAGGGAGAUACGGUGAUGGUGAAAUGUUUUGCAGUGGGUAGGUGAAAUGAAUCAGCUUUGGAGUUCAAUUGCGUGGAGAUAUUAUAUUAAGCCCUCGUUUGGCCCCAUGAUUUCUCAUUAAAUUAAAUUAAAAUUUUCUCUUUCCUAUUUUU
RNAcentral lists this long non-coding RNA (1097 nucleotides) under Olea europaea subsp. europaea. Lineage: Eukaryota; Viridiplantae; Streptophyta; Magnoliopsida; Lamiales; Oleaceae. The record is from RNAcentral.